Molecule: ribosomal RNA, 737 nt
Filed under: uncultured bacterium
Lineage: Bacteria
Description: bacterial SSU rRNA
Rfam family: Bacterial small subunit ribosomal RNA
Source: RNAcentral
UAGAGUUUGAUCCUGGCUCAGAUUGAACGCUGGCGGCAGGCCUAACACAUGCAAGUCGAGCGGUAGAGAGAAGCUUGCUUCUCUUGAGAGCGGCGGACGGGUGAGUAAUGCCUAGGAAUCUGCCUGGUAGUGGGGGAUAACGUUCGGAAACGGACGCUAAUACCGCAUACGUCCUACGGGAGAAAGCAGGGGACCUUCGGGCCUUGCGCUAUCAGAUGAGCCUAGGUCGGAUUAGCUAGUUGGUGGGGUAAUGGCUCACCAAGGCGACGAUCCGUAACUGGUCUGAGAGGAUGAUCAGUCACACUGGAACUGAGACACGGUCCAGACUCCUACGGGAGGCAGCAGUGGGGAAUAUUGGACAAUGGGCGAAAGCCUGAUCCAGCCAUGCCGCGUGUGUGAAGAAGGUCUUCGGAUUGUAAAGCACUUUAAGUUGGGAGGAAGGGUUGUAGAUUAAUACUCUGCAAUUUCGACGUUACCGACAGAAUAAGCACCGGCUAACUCUGUGCCAGCAGCCGCGGUAAUACAGAGGGUGCAAGCGUUAAUCGGAAUUACUGGGCGUAAAGCGCGCGUAGGUGGUUUGUUAAGUCGGAUGUGAAAUCCCCGGGCUCAACCUGGGAACUGCAUUCAAAACUGACUGACUAGAGUAUGGUAGAGGGUGGUGGAAUUUCCUGUGUAGCGGUGAAAUGCGUAGAUAUAGGAAGGAACACCAGUGGCGAAGGCGACCACCUGGACUAAUA